RNAcentral lists this ribosomal RNA (366 nucleotides) under Lepidoptera sp. BAH_28362_F12. Its description in RNAcentral is "partial 16S ribosomal RNA". Lineage: Eukaryota; Metazoa; Arthropoda; Insecta; Lepidoptera. The record is from RNAcentral.
UAAUUUAAGGGCUGCAGUAUAUUGACUGUACAAAGGUAGCAUAAUCAUUAGUCUCUUAAUUGGUGACUUGUAUGAAGGAUUGGAUGAAAUAUAAACUGUCUGCUUAUUUAUAAAUAGAAUUUAAUUUUUUUAUUAAAAAGUAAAAAUAAUUUUAAAAGACGAGAAGACCCUAUAGAGUUUUAUAUUUAAUAUUAUUAUAAUUUAUUUAUAAAUUUAAAAAUUUAUAUAAUAUAAAAUAUUUUAUUGGGGUGAUAGAAAAAUUUAAAUAACUUUUUUUAGGAAUAAACAAUAAUAAAUGAGUAAAAUGAUCCAUAAUUUAUGAUUAUAAGAAAAAAUUACCUUAGGGAUAACAGCGUUAUUUUUUUU